This 484-nucleotide ribosomal RNA is filed under the name uncultured bacterium. RNAcentral describes it as "partial 16S ribosomal RNA". It matches the Rfam family "Bacterial small subunit ribosomal RNA", at positions 30 to 507 of the family's 1533-position model. The record is from RNAcentral.
AUUGAACGCUGGCGGCAUGCUUUACACAUGCAAGUCGAACGGUAACAGGGAGCUUGCUCCGCUGACGAGUGGCGAACGGGUGAGUAAUAUAUCGGAACGUACCCAAGAGUGGGGGAUAACGUAGCGAAAGUUACGCUAAUACCGCAUACGAUCUAUGGAUGAAAGCAGGGGACCUUCGGGCCUUGUGCUCCUGGAGCGGCCGAUAUCUGAUUAGCUAGUUGGUGAGGUAAAGGCUCACCAAGGCGACGAUCAGUAGCUGGUCUGAGAGGACGACCAGCCACACUGGAACUGAGACACGGUCCAGACUCCUACGGGAGGCAGCAGUGGGGAAUUUUGGACAAUGGGCGCAAGCCUGAUCCAGCAAUGCCGCGUGAGUGAAGAAGGCCUUCGGGUUGUAAAGCUCUUUUGUAAGGGAAGAAACGGCUGUGGCUAAUAUCCACGGCUAAUGACGGUACCUGAAGAAUAAGCACCGGCUAACUACGUG